AGUGAACGCUGGCGGUAGGCCUAACACAUGCAGGCCGAACGCCAGCACAUAAGAGCUUGCCCUUUAGGGUUGCCAGUGGCGGGCCGGGGGAGGAAAACAUGGGAUCUUCUUUUUUGUUGGGGGUUACGGUGGGGAAAUUAACCCAAUAACGCAUAAGACCUACGGGGGAAAAGCAGGGGACCUCGGGCCUUUGGCGAAUGAAUGGGGCGAUGUCGGAUUAGCUAGUUGGCGGGGUAAAGGCCCACCAAGGCGACGAUCCGUAGCUGGUCUGAGAGGAUGAUCAGCCACACUGGAACUGAGACACGGUCCAGACUCCUACGGGAGGCAGCAGUGGGGAAUAUUGGACAAUGGGCGCAAGCCUGAUCCAGCCAUACCGCGUGGGUGAAGAAGGCCUUCGGGUUGUAAAGCCCUUUUGUUGGGAAAGAAAAGCAGCAGGUUAAUACCCCGCUGUUCUGGCGGUACCCAAAGAAUAAGCACCGGCUAACUUCGUG
Molecule: ribosomal RNA, 491 nt
Filed under: uncultured bacterium
Lineage: Bacteria
Description: partial 16S ribosomal RNA
Rfam family: Bacterial small subunit ribosomal RNA
Source: RNAcentral